Molecule: non-coding RNA, 1272 nt
Organism: Phascolarctos cinereus (koala)
Lineage: Eukaryota; Metazoa; Chordata; Mammalia; Diprotodontia; Phascolarctidae
Source: RefSeq, a predicted model, not a curated record
UGAGGAGCCCGGUGUGGCUCUAGGGACUGAUCAGGAGGAGAAUGGGGAUAUGUGGAAAUGCCAAGUCAGUGAAUGUCUCAUGACCUGGAGUCCUUCUGUGGAAGAUGUGAAAGCCCAUGAUGAUUGAGCAAAUAAAUAAUGGGCUGAGGAAUGGGGUUUCAGUUUCCUCAUCUACAAAUGACAGUCUACAAUUAGAGGAUGUCUAAAGUCCCUUCCAACUUUAAAUCCUGUGCUCCAGAUUGGUUUGACUUCCCACUGUUACUUUCUUCAGGGAUUUUGAAUGAAGACAGUGUCAAGGAGGUCAGCUAACCUUCUUCGACUCCUUUGAUCUACCCCCAUCCCCCACCCCAUAGUCAGUAUAACUCGGAAACAUUUUACACUGACUGGGCACUCUGGCUUCAAGAUGAUGCCGUUCUUGCAAGACAAGGGUCAGGCUGAGCCCUCACUGUUUACCGUUGCUGUUGAUGAGGAGACCAGCAGCUGGGUUGAGGCCAGGAAGAACUCGAGCUACGUGGGCAGACAGCAAGGGGAAGGUGCCCAGUCAGCAGGGAGCCAGUGUCUGGUGAAAUCAACAGCAGGUCCAGCAGGUUGUGAUCUGCAAAAGAGGUCUUGUCCCCCACGAGAAAGGCCUAGCUUCCCUGGUUCUGGUUCAGCAGGGUCUCAAAAGGAUUCAGCUGGAUGUGCAGAUCCUUCAAUACCUGUCCUGUCCUUCUCGUAAUUCUGGUAGAUGAGGAAAAGGUACGUGAGCUGGGGGGUCCUCCACCCCAGCAUUAGCCAUGUCCAAGACAGCAGCUUCUUCAGUGUCCCUCCCAUAGAUCUCAGGGUGGCAUUACGCUGAGUCUCCAUCUGUGAAUUUGAGGAGCUGGCCACAGAGACAGCUGGCCUUGAGGUCCCCCUUCAUCCACAUGUCUUUGGUCAUUGUGUCCUCUUUCCUCAUAUGGUCUUGGUCAGCCAGGAGCAUCCGGAUAACCUUGCAUCGCCCUUGGACAGGGACAUAGGUGAUGGAGCAGGAAGCCAUCUCUGGAGAGAGUGGCACACAGGAACAAGUGUGAGCAGGAAGCCACCGUCUCCCUUCUAACCGGGGUCCGGUGCCACUCUGAAGAGGCCUGGCCCUGAUUUGUUAUGCAAUUGGCAUUCAUUGCUUAAUGGACAGGUGUGCUUAGAAGCUUGGACCUUUGUUUCCUUAGUUAUUUCAUCUUUCACCCAUCACAUAUGUUAAUGACAAAAAUCACGAGGAAAUAACAGAAAGAAAAGUUUCAUUCUUAAUAAAUA